AUACGUAGGUGGCAAGCGUUAUCCGGAAUUAUUGGGCGUAAAGAGGGAGCAGGCGGCAGCAAGGGUCUGUGGUGAAAGCCUGAAGCUUAACUUCAGUAAGCCAUAGAAACCAGGCAGCUAGAGUGCAGGAGAGGAUCGUGGAAUUCCAUGUGUAGCGGUGAAAUGCGUAGAUAUAUGGAGGAACACCAGUGGCGAAGGCGACGAUCUGGCCUGCAACUGACGCCCAGUCCCGAAAGCGUGGGGAGCAAAUAGGAUUAGAUCCCCUAGUAGUCCACGCCGUAAACGAUGAGUACUAAGUGUUGGAUGUCAAAGUUCAGUGCUGCAGUUAACGCAAUAAGUACUCCGCCUGAGUAGUACGUUCGCAAGAAUGAAACUCAAAGGAAUUGACGGGG
RNAcentral lists this ribosomal RNA (392 nucleotides) under uncultured bacterium. Its description in RNAcentral is "partial 16S ribosomal RNA". It matches the Rfam family "Bacterial small subunit ribosomal RNA", at positions 523 to 918 of the family's 1533-position model. The record is from RNAcentral.